UGUUGGGUGGAAAAUUGGGAUUUCUUUGGAUAAACCUACUAGCAAUACAAGCAUUGCCUUAAGAGUAAAGGAUCCAAAAUCAACAUAUAAGAGCGGUAAAACUGGCGGAGGAUUUGUGAUGGGACCUGCUAUGUUCACAGUAACAGAUGAUCUGAUUGUAACACCCAUAUCCCAAUUUUCCGGUCUGUCUGUUUUAAACAAAUUGAAUAUACCUUUCAAUGACAUUGAAGAGCUGAAUGUUCAUGUUGGGAAUGAGGAGGCUUCUCGACUACUGGUAGCUUCUUUUAUGUCUGAAUCUGCUCUAACUGAGACCUUUCUCCAGAAAAAGAUAAAAUAAGAAUACUAAUGGCAUGUUUACUGUAUUAUAGGAUUUGUUGGUAGUUAAGUAAGAAUCUGUGUUUUUACUUGUGGCUUUUUGUAAUUGACUAUGUUAUGGAGGAGGGUUUCAGUAUUGUAUUGGUGAUGAGUUUGCCUAUUUUGAUCUAUAUAUCUUAGUAAAACUUUGCUUUUUGUUGUUUA
Molecule: long non-coding RNA, 519 nt
Organism: Jatropha curcas
Lineage: Eukaryota; Viridiplantae; Streptophyta; Magnoliopsida; Malpighiales; Euphorbiaceae
Source: RefSeq, a predicted model, not a curated record